RNAcentral lists this ribosomal RNA (444 nucleotides) under uncultured bacterium. RNAcentral describes it as "partial 16S ribosomal RNA". It matches the Rfam family "Bacterial small subunit ribosomal RNA", at positions 331 to 792 of the family's 1533-position model. The record is from RNAcentral.
CCAGACUCCUACGGGAGGCAGCAGUGGGGAAUAUUGCACAAUGGGGGGAACCCUGAUGCAGCGACGCCGCGUGAGGGAAGAAGGUUUUCGGAUUGUAAACCUCUGUCCUCUGUGACGAUAAUGACGGUAGCAGAGGAGGAAGCCACGGCUGACUACGUGCCAGCAGCCGCGGUAAUACGUAGGUGGCGAGCGUUAUCCGGAUUUACUGGGCGUAAAGGGAGCGCAGGCGGCGCGCCAAGUCUGAUGUGAAACCCCGGGGCUCAACCCCGGGCAUGCAUUGGAAACUGGCGGGCUGGAGUGCCGGAGAGGUAAGCGGAAUUCCUAGUGUAGCGGUGAAAUGCGUAGAUAUUAGGAGGAACACCAGUGGCGAAGGCGGCUUACUGGACGGCAACUGACGCUGAGGCUCGAAAGCGUGGGGAGCAAACAGGAUUAGAUACCCCAGUA